Molecule: non-coding RNA, 1287 nt
Organism: Hemiscyllium ocellatum (epaulette shark)
Lineage: Eukaryota; Metazoa; Chordata; Chondrichthyes; Orectolobiformes; Hemiscylliidae
Source: the annotation of a RefSeq genome assembly
AUGGGGUUUUGCUACAGCUUGGUACCGCUGUGCUUUAACAGCGAAGCUUACUUUGGAGAUGGGACGAAGUUGGUCGUUUUCGCACUGUGCUCUGGAAGCUAUAAUUAUUUCUUUGGUGAAGGGACUAAACUGACCGUUUUUGAAGGUACUAUUAAGGAACCCAGCAUCACUAUUUUUCAACCCUCUCCAGAAGAAGUUAAUAAGAAGCAGAAGGUGACAGUGGUUUGCCUCAUAUCUAACUUCUAUCCAGACAAUGUCAAGAUUACCUGGUUCAUCGAUAAUGAGAUUCAGCAGGCCAAUGACGCAAGGAUUCUGACUGAUCCUAAUUCCAGAUCAGCGGAUGGGGGCAAAUCCUACAGCAUCACCAGUCGGUUAAGAUUGGAGGCUCGUGAUUUCGUCCAGCCUAGAAAUGUUUCAUGCAAAGCGGAUCACUAUACUCCAGAAGAAGUGAAGACAUGCCGUGCAUAUUUGAGCAUCAGUAUUGCAACCUGUGGUAUUCGUAAAGAAGAAAGAAUCCAAAGCAUGGGAACAGCAAAAUUGACGUACUUGAUCCUGUUCUGCAAAAGCAUCUUGUAUGCAGUGUUCGUGUCAUUUCUUGCUUGGAAAACUAAGAUCUCUUCCAGCAAGCGGUUUGACUGAUCAUCAUAAAGCACCGAACUUAAUAAAUGGAUAAUAGCCGAACACAUGAAAGAGGGAGAAGAGACAAAGCAAGUGAAUUGUGAAUAUCGAUGGUUAACUUUAUCCAGUCCAUUCCUGCUGCAAUCCUGAAACUUUGAUCUUUUCCCGGACUCUCCAACAGUGUUGCUUGAGACUAUCAAAUUAAAUUUAUGCCUUGACUUGCCUUUUCAACAGAAAUAAUUAUUUCAUAGUCUAAUUUCUUUAAGUGUCUGUGCUUUGAAUAGAUUAAAUUUUAAGGGUGCACCAUUCCCAUUCCAGUCUGUCAUUCAUUAUCAAACGCUAGCCAUUUAAAAAAAAAGACCUUUAAGUAGAAUUAGGGAGAUUAAAAUGCAAGAGGAGGAUAUUCAAUGAAUCAUGCAUGUGCCUGUUCUUUCAAUGUCAACCAUGAGUUCCAAUAAUUACAAGGCCAACAGUAUCAGUUUCUCUAAUCCAUCCAUGCAAGUGAAUUUCUGCAUGCGAAAUUGCAUUUUCAUAAAGCAAUGCAUAUUAUGAAGUAGUGUAAUGCCUUUUGCAACUGUCAAUGCUAAUCACCUCAUAGAUUGCAAUGAAAACGGAAAUUAGAAUCAUGCAUCAUUUGUAACAGUGUUCAGUAGGUAAAGUAUAGUCAAG